Molecule: long non-coding RNA, 4942 nt
Filed under: Nicotiana tabacum (common tobacco)
Lineage: Eukaryota; Viridiplantae; Streptophyta; Magnoliopsida; Solanales; Solanaceae
Description: long non-coding RNA (NTAB_LNC011310)
Source: RNAcentral
ACACAAAUCACAUUUUCUUUUAAAUUAUCAUAAAUAUAUAUAUAAAAAUUAAUAUAUGAUAUAUAUUUGCAAAGGUCAAUACAACUGAUGCACUAAGUAUUUACAUACUUCCAAAAACUAAAUAUUACUAAAACACAUGUUCUUACUUAAAAAUAAAAACAAGAGCAUCUACAGGGUCAUAAUUUCUAAUCUAAUAACAACCCAAAAGUAAAUCUUCUUCUAGUAGCUUGAGCAUUAGAUGAACCAUAUUGUCAGCUAUGUUGGUUUAUUCAUACUCAUCCUGCAAAAGAAGAUAAAUUAUAAUCAUAUCUUUUAUAAAAAAAAAUUAUAAAGUACACAAGUACAAAUCAAAAAAAGAAAAAUUUGGGCACCAAUGAUAUAAAAAGAUUAUUAUAAUCAAAGCUAAAGCUAAGAAAUUAUCAAGAACGAACUUGCACCAUGUAACAUAAAAGAGUAAAGCUAACUACCUACUAUAGAAAUUCUAUACAUGCCCGAGUAAUCAAUUUUUUAGUACCAGAACCAGGACAAAUAACAAUUCCAAGUAACUUUCAAGGCACUCCAAUUUUUUUUCUUUAUCAAACUAUUAAGCAAAACUAUGCUCUUUCUCGGUUGUAGUGAUUACAAUACACAAUUGUAAUUUGUAAAGGUUGGGGGACUGUUCAAAAAAUAAUAUCGUUAUACCCUAUUGUAUUUCUAUUUAACUUAGCAUCCAUUGUUGUGCAUAUCACAUAAAAGAGCAUGGAAAGCAUAACAUGUUAUGGUCAUAAUAUCUCAAUUUGGUGAUUUUGAAAUCAGAUGACAGACUACUAAAUAAAUUGUAACUGAAAACCAUAAUACAAACAUGAUAUUGAACAAUAUCAACCAACGAACUAUUUUUACAAGAGUUAGACAAAGUUUCUUACCGUGAUGUUAUCCAUAAGUCUUGAACGACUUGCCUCAUUUGAACCACAAAUGUAGCAUUAACAAUCGGGUCCAAAUUAGUAUCCUCUUCAAUUUCUUGGAUUUGUUUAGCAAUAUAGUCGUUCACCUUAUCCUACAAAAAUUUAUACAGACUUUAACUUUCAAUAUUUAUUUCGAUAAACUCAUAUUAUAGGAAUAAAGAUAAAAGUGUCACAUGUAUAUUUAAUUCAACGGAGGCAUCAUUAACUCAAUGUUCAUUCUUCAUGUGAGUCAUUUGUUUGCAUACUAGCCGAGAAAGGCAAACAAUAUGCAAACAAACACUAACAGAAAUUGUUAGGUGGAGUUUUGUUUCAAAAAGGGCUUAAAAGCUUUUGCCUUUCUCUUAUGUAUCAUAUAGGAGAUUAAGAUAAAUUGUUCAAAUGUGUUCUUCCUUUUUCUGUGAUUCACUGUGUAAUAUCUGAAUGUCUAAAUGAAUCAGUUCGAAAAAUUUUAUUUUGUGUCACAUACAACUGACACUAGUUGUAUGAGGCAAUUUUUUUGUCUCACAGUUUUGUGGACCCAGAUUUCUGUGGACCCAGAAGUGUAAGAUUGGGGACCACAAAUUUGUGAGAUAAAAAGGAGUCUCAUACAACUAGUGUAAGUUGUAUGAUACACAAAAUAAAACUUCUCAAUUAGUUCAAACUGACUAGACUUUUCAUCAGCACUGCCUUUCUACUUCAUCAAUUUGAAACACUCAAUUUCCUAAACAUGCUCUACCUAAUUCUUAUAAGUCUGAGUACCACUAGCAUCAUGGUUCAGAUAAACUUUGCACCAAUACUACUCACUAUUUAUUUACAUCUUCGCAUUUAACUUAUGUAUGUAUUUACUUCUAUAGAUUAAAAGAUGUGGAGAAAUAGCACGUAAACUUCGCUUUUUCGAGGAACAAAUGACAAAGGCAGGGUUUACCCCUUCAACAAGGACAACAACUGGCUCAACUAUUAAUCUGGAUGAAUUGGAGGUCUACUUAUUUCAUCUUCUUAGAUUUAAGCAGGUGUUUUUUAAAAUUUUCCUAAAAAUGAAUCACUUCUUUCUAAUAGAAUUGUCCUUUUCCAACUUUGGUGACAUGAAUCCCCAACCUCAUAGUUAGACAUGGAUGAGUUUUACAAUUAUAUUGUCCCUCCCCUUCCAGGAUGCAAAUCUAAACAGUCACUCUUAGGCAAGUAAACAAGAAAAGGAAGAAAGCACAGAAAUAAGAACAGUAGUCUGACAAAUCUUUGGCUUGAAACAAACUAUUGCUUUCAAUAAAUAAUUAUUUUUUAAUAACAGGUUGCUUUGAACAAUAUCAACACAACUUGAGCAAAUGAAAAUUGCAAGUACAGUAAGUGUUCCAGAUUGAAAAGUAUGGCACUUGCGCCUAACUCAACCCCAAAAGCACUAUUACUGAACAAUAAUGUUUACCUGGAUAGCGCAAUGAGACUCCUGUCUCUGUAUCAUCUUAUAGUUAAUUCAACAUAAUCGUAAUUUAGUGAUAAUAAUUCUUUUCCUCUAGGAUGAUAUCUGCUUCUGUCGGAUCUAUUUUUUAGCAAUAUAUACAUAUAAUGUACACACACAGAAGUACUUAGAGACACACACACAGAGGAAAGUCAUCUAGUGUUCUUUACAUUUUUAUAUACCUUUUAUUUCUACCAUCAACAUUUAGCUUUAAAGUCAAUAACCUUAGAUGGACAUAAAGGGAAAAGUGAAAACUUGUAAGUAACAGUUUGCAGUAGCCUUCCCGAGAAUUGGAGCAUGUAAUUGUAAUCUUCAUGUAAUGAUCAUUUCAACAUUAAUCAAGUAAUUAUUUAACCAGCCUACUAAGACAAACAAACUAAUGUGUAUUUAAUUACUUAACAGGUUCACUAAGAUGGAUUCAGAUGCCACGUCAUUUCCUUAGAUGAUUGUCCUUGCUUUAUUUUUAUAUCAGGAAGAGUUCUUUGUGUGACUUUAAGUUAAAAAGCAUGAAAAUUCAAAACUCUAUUCCAUGCAAACCCCAACUCAAAAAUUCAGAACUCUAUUCCAUGCCUACAAGAUUUUACCGUUCACAAACAUGACUACUAUCAUAUGCUUUUUCGAUAUUUUGCUUACGUCCAGAGCUGUAGUUUUCUUGUCUUCAGCUUCUUGUCUUUCUUCUUUUAAUUUCUAAUUUGAACAUCAUUUUUUCUUGCUCUUUUUGUUCUUCUUCAGAAUUGUAAUAUGGCAAGGUCAUAGCUUGAACUAAAUCAUAGAAAUGCAAAUGCUAGAAGAGCAUGAAUUAUGUAAUUACUUGUAACUAUAUCCAAAUAAUUUUUCAAACUCACCUUUAAUAAAUUUAGCAUCACACUCGUGUUACCUUCGACACCAUAGCAGGUGGGGAAAGUAAUGACACAAAAUUUCUUAUUCCAUAAGGAUUAAUGAUACAAGACUAUCUAAUAAAAUAAGAAAUAAACAAAAGAGUCAAAGAGUUGUGUAAGCUAAAUGACUACAUAUGUACCAAUAACAUUAAGCUGAAAAUACUAACAUGAAGUUGGAUUAUGCCAGCAUUGGAAGGAAACUAAGGACACAUGUAUUUUUCUUUCACUGAAAUACCAUUAAGAAAAUGGUGAUUUCUAAAUAGAACAGAACUAACAAACAAGCAGAUUGGGCACUACGAAGGUGAGACAGAAGCAACAAUAUCAUGAUAUUUUAGAAAUAAAAGAUAAAUCAACGUGCACUUUGAUCAAUUUAUGGUUUUAGCAGCCUUAGUAGACUUUUGUUUACUGGGAGUCAUGGAAGUAUUAAUGUCUAAGACAGAGUAUGUGCUCUUAUUUAAAAAUUAAAAAUUCCAAGACGAAUCGAUUCAUCUGUGAUUGGAUAAAAAAAUUUCUUUCACACUCUCUCAGAUGUUAACAGAGUGUAAGGGAAUGAGGUACUAAUUGUCUAAGAUGUUUCUUUUCUCAAAAAAUAAAAUAAUAUAAAUACUUAGUAAAAUAAUGAUUCUUCCCAAAGUUGAAAAUCAUCUACAAUUGUAAAUUAAUUGUAUUACAACCAGAAUUUAGUAAUAAUUUAAUGCAUCUGUCAAUUAAUCCAAAAUUUACUUUACUUUGGAUUAAAUGAAUAGCCAUAUACAUGAAUACACUAUUAAAAGAACCAAAAUUGGACAGGGGACAUAAAGCUAACUUUUCAUGACCAAAUAGAUCUAAUACCACAAAUAACAAGCAAUAGAUAAACUUCUCAUGAAAUUGGUAUUUAAAACUAGAAGUGUGAAACUGUUGACCUUCAAUCCAAUCUCUUAUCACAGAAUCCUUCGAGGAAAUAAUAUCACAUUCAUGUUGUGCCAACAAUAGAAAAAUGUCCAUUAAAAAAGGAACAAGAAUCUAGAAAAGCUUUAAAAUAAAAAAUCUAUGCAAGGAACAAGAAUUUGGACAAAUUUAAAACUAAAAUCUUAUGCAGGGAACAAGAAUCUGGACAACAAUAAAAUAAAGAACUUAUGCAAAGUUGCUUUCUGAAGCAUAUGGAAUUAUAGGAGAAAAAAGCGCAAAUCCUACUCUGGCAUAGAAGAAUUUAAGAUGCCCAUACCCAAUUAAGUACUUCACUGAUAAAAGACAAUCACAAAAAUUGGUAUUUCCAUAAUUUAGUGUAGCAGCAAUCGGGUAAAGUAAUUAAAGAUAGAGUUCUUACCGUUCUUCUCCGAUCAGCAGCAACGGUCUUCUGACCGUUCUUCUUUGAUCAGCAGCAGUAGGACAAAACAGGGGAGAAACUCUUUAAAUUAGAACUGAUAAGAAAAACCCUAGCAAGAAUAGUUAUUAGAGAGUGGGCUAAAAAUCCGUGAAAAGUAAUUAAAAGACUUUUGGUUUGCCGCAUUUGAUUUUGGCGAAAAAUUGAAAAGAUUAAGGCCACAAUCCACGCAUCUCGUUGGCAAUUUAAUGUGUAUUGCCAACAAAAAUACUUUAUUGUUGCCAAUUCUGUUUAUAAUCUAAUUUUAUUAUGUUAAAAUUUUUAUUUUUUGCAACAACUAAAAUUAGUUAUUGCCAUUUAUUACAAUUCGACAAUAAUAAUAUAGUUGUUG